This 72-nucleotide transfer RNA is filed under the name Phrynosoma platyrhinos (Desert horned lizard). Its description in RNAcentral is "tRNA-OTHER". Lineage: Eukaryota; Metazoa; Chordata; Lepidosauria; Squamata; Phrynosomatidae. The record is from RNAcentral.
GCCAGCAUGGCAUAGUGGUUUGAGCAUUGGACUAUGACUCUUGAGACCAAGGUUCAAAUCCUGGGUCAGCCA